Molecule: ribosomal RNA, 1573 nt
Filed under: Paradoxurus hermaphroditus (Asian palm civet)
Lineage: Eukaryota; Metazoa; Chordata; Mammalia; Carnivora; Viverridae
Description: 16S ribosomal RNA
Rfam family: Bacterial large subunit ribosomal RNA
Source: RNAcentral
GCCAAAACUAGCCCAAACACUCAUAAACUCAAUUACCAUAAAAUAAUAAAUUAAAACAUUUAGUUUAACCCUUAAAAGUAUAGGAGAUAGAAAUUUAAUUUGGCGCUAUAGAGAUAGUACCGCAAGGGAAAGAUGAAAGAAAUAUUAAAAGCACAAUACAGCAAAGAUUACCCCUUGUACCUUUUGCAUAAUGAGCUAGCUAGACAUAGUCUAACAAAGAGAACUUAAGCUAGAUACCCCGAAACCAGACGAGCUACCUAUGAACAAUCUUUUACAGGAUAAACUCGUCUAUGUCGCAAAAUAGUGAGAAGAUUUAUAGGUAGAGGUGAAACGCCUAACGAGCCUGGUGAUAGCUGGUUGCCCAGAAUAGAAUUUUAGUUCAACUUUAAACUUACCUAAAAAACUAUUAAUUCUAAUGUAAGUUUAAAAUAUAGUCUAAAAAGGUACAGCUUUUUAGACUUAGGAUACAGCCUUUCUUAGAGAGUAAACAUUAACACAACCAUAGUUGGCUUAAAAGCAGCCAUCAAUUAAGAAAGCGUUCAAGCUCAACAAAUAAAACAACUUAAUCCCAAAAAUAUAUAAUCAACUCCUAAUAUUAAUACUGGGCUAAUCUAUUUUAUUAUAGAAGAAAUAAUGCUAAUAUGAGUAACAAGAAAUAUUUUCUCCUUGCAUAAGCUUAUAUCAGAACGGAUAACCACUGAUAGUUAACAACAAGAUAUAAAUAAUCUAACAAUAAACCCAAUAUCAAAUCAAUUGUUAACCCAACACAGGCAUGCAAUUAAGGAAAGAUUAAAAGAAGUAAAAGGAACUCGGCAAACAUAAACCCCGCCUGUUUACCAAAAACAUCACCUCUAGCAUAUCCAGUAUUAGAGGCACUGCCUGCCCAGUGACAUUCGUUAAACGGCCGCGGUAUCCUGACCGUGCAAAGGUAGCAUAAUCACUUGUUCCCUAAAUAGGGACUCGUAUGAAUGGCCACACGAGGGUUUUACUGUCUCUUACUUCCAAUCCGUGAAAUUGACCUUCCCGUGAAGAGGCGGGGAUAUAAUAAUAAGACGAGAAGACCCUAUGGAGCUUCAAUUAACUGAUCCAAAGAGAUUAAUAUAUACCGACAGGGACAACAAUCCUCCAUAAUGGAUCAACAAUUUAGGUUGGGGUGACCUCGGAGUACAAAACAACCUCCGAAUGAUUUCUAAUCAAGACUAACCAGUCAAAAGUAUUACAUCAUUAAUUGAUCCAAAAUUAUUUGAUCAACGGAACAAGUUACCCUAGGGAUAACAGCGCAAUCCUAUUUUAGAGUCCAUAUCGACAAUAGGGUUUACGACCUCGAUGUUGGAUCAGGACAUCCCGAUGGUGCAGCAGCUAUCAAAGGUUCGUUUGUUCAACGAUUAAAGUCCUACGUGAUCUGAGUUCAGACCGGAGCAAUCCAGGUCGGUUUCUAUCUAUUAAACAAUUUCUCCCAGUACGAAAGGACAAGAGAAAUAAGGCCUACUUUACUAAAGCGCCUUCAACCUAAUAGAUGAUAUAAUCUUAAUCUAAACAGUUUACCACACAUACUACCCGAGAGUUCGGGUUU